CACUUUUUAUUUCAAAAUUUGAUCAAAACCUGUAUGUUUCCAAUAAGUUUAUUUCGCGCUGAUCAUUUUGGUGCAUUUAGUUUAAUUUUUCGGACACUUUUUCAUCAUAUUUUUAUUCAUUUUUAUCCAUUUAUUUUUGUUGGUUAGCCAAAAUAAUCUAGGGAAUUAAUUAUAAUUAAAUAUCUUUUUAAUUUGAUUUAAUUAUGUGGUAUUUGGUUUUAUCUUAAUUAGUAUUUUUUAUUUGUU
This 246-nucleotide long non-coding RNA is filed under the name Lathyrus oleraceus (garden pea). RNAcentral describes it as "Pisum sativum (pea) long non-coding RNA (PSAT_LNC004585)". Lineage: Eukaryota; Viridiplantae; Streptophyta; Magnoliopsida; Fabales; Fabaceae. The record is from RNAcentral.